GGAGGGAUGGCCGAGUGGUUGAAGGCGGCGGUCUUGAAAACCGUUUCUCCCAAAGCCGGGAGACGUGGGUUCGAAUCCUACUCCCUCCGCCA
RNAcentral lists this transfer RNA (92 nucleotides) under Candidatus Methylomirabilota bacterium. RNAcentral's name for it is "tRNA-Ser". It matches the Rfam family "tRNA". From Rfam's summary of the family: Transfer RNA (tRNA) molecules are approximately 80 nucleotides in length. The record is from RNAcentral. Lineage: Bacteria; Methylomirabilota (SeqCode).